GAUUUUCUUGAGCCAAUGGCGAG
This 23-nucleotide non-coding RNA is filed under the name Rattus norvegicus (Norway rat). Lineage: Eukaryota; Metazoa; Chordata; Mammalia; Rodentia; Muridae. The record is from RNAcentral.